UAGGUGGAUUUGAGGACUUCAAUGUGCAUAUUUGGAGGAUUUUGAAGAAUUUCACAUGCAUAUUUGGAUGAUUUGAAGACUUUGACU
RNAcentral lists this microRNA precursor (87 nucleotides) under Solanum lycopersicum (tomato). RNAcentral's name for it is "MIR8024 microRNA precursor family". It matches the Rfam family "MIR8024 microRNA precursor family". Lineage: Eukaryota; Viridiplantae; Streptophyta; Magnoliopsida; Solanales; Solanaceae. The record is from Rfam by way of RNAcentral.